CACUUGCGCGUGAGGGAUAGCGGUGAAAAUCCUUUUGCUUUUUUUCUUUAAAAAAGCAAAAGAUUGCAACCAAUAGCCCGACCCUUG
Molecule: small RNA, 87 nt
Filed under: Flavobacterium crassostreae
Lineage: Bacteria; Pseudomonadati; Bacteroidota; Flavobacteriia; Flavobacteriales; Flavobacteriaceae
Description: Flavo-1 RNA
Rfam family: Flavo-1 RNA
Source: Rfam by way of RNAcentral